Molecule: unclassified non-coding RNA, 788 nt
Filed under: Hevea brasiliensis (rubber tree)
Lineage: Eukaryota; Viridiplantae; Streptophyta; Magnoliopsida; Malpighiales; Euphorbiaceae
Source: RNAcentral
AGAACACCCAAUUUGAACUAAUUUCAACAAGUUUCAUUAACAAUCUGCAACUACACAAAGUCACAAUUCCCAAACAACCGAAUCAAUCUUAAUGGUGAGGCACAGGAGAUUCCACAAGCAACAGUAAUGUUCAUAGCACAACAAAUUCCACAGGCACAACACAACGUGCAAGCCCAUUAGAGCCAUCGCACAACACGAAUCUGGAGGUGAACCCACCCAGUAAUAGUAGCCAUUGAAGAACCAAAAAUGUCGAAGAAGAAGAAGAAACAGUCAGAAGGGACCCAAACCCAUAUCUACAAUCCCAGCAACAAAAAAAUCAGUCAACAACAAUUUCAAUUUUCAAUUUACAAAUCUAAAACUUUACAAACCCACAAUACAACAAAUCUAACACCUAACGUCAGAAUGAGCUAGAGGGAACCAAGGCUUGAAGAACAAAAACCUAGAAAUACAACAGAUCAAACACCUAAAUCCAUAAAUUAAACCCAAAACACAACAAAUUUAACCCAUAAUAAAAACAUCCAAACCCAAAUAUUCAAAGGCACAACGACAUGGGCCUUGGUGGCGUGGGAAACGAGGGUAGUUCAGGUUCUGAAGGAGGUUCAUCUGCCAACGAAGAAGACCGAAGAAGGAGCUGGGUCUGGUUCAGCUUUGCAAAGAAGACCAAAGAAGAAGGAGCUGGAUCUAGCUCAGAUUCGCGAAGAAGGCCAAAUAAGAAGAAGAAAAGCGGGGCUAAGUGUUGGCUGCUGGUCUGCCAAUGGAAACAUUAAUGGAAGAAGAAGAAGAUCGAG